AGUGCUGGCAUUACAGGUGUGUGCCACCAUGCCUAGCUAGCAAACUUUUACUUUUAUAAGACGUAUACUCUAGCCAGGGGUGGUGGUGCAUACCUUUAGUCCCGGCACUCGGGAGGCAGAGGCAGGUGGAUCUCCAUGAGUUCUAGGCCAGCCUGGUCUACAUAGUGAGUUUCAGGUCAGCUGAGGCUACAGGGAGACCCUGCCCCCCGCAAACAACAACAAAAAAACCCAAAGAAGUAUACUGUAAUAAAAAGUAAAGACAUAGAAGUACCUACUGCCGUGGUGUUGUGCUGUGGGGAAGGGAGACGGAUUUGUAAACCCCAGAGCGAGGUUCUGCCUCCCCGAGGCCCAUGGUAUUGCAGAGACCCGGGGUGAAGCCAGUGUCACCAUGUCUGACCAGGAGGCAAAACCUUCAACUGAGGACUUAGGGGAUAAGAAGGAAAGUGAAUACAUAAAACUCAAAGUCAUUGGGCAGGACAGCAGUGAGAUACACUUCAAAGUGAAAAUGACAACACAUGUCAAGAAGCUCAAAGAAUCACACUGUCAAAGACAGGGAGUUCCAGUGACUUCACUCGGGUUUCUCUUUGAAGGUCGGAGAAUUGCUGAUAAUCAGACUCCAAAAGAACUGGGCUUGGAGGAAGAACAUAUGAUUGAAGUUUACCAGAAACAAACGGGUCAUUCAACAGUUUAGAUACUCUUUUAUUUCUUUUCCCUCGAUCCUUUUUUAUUUUUAAAAAAUAGUUCUUUUGUAUUGUGUUCAAAAUGAAAAUUGAAUACUGGCACUCCAUCUCUUUAAACAUCUGGUAAUUUGAAUUCUAGUUCAAUAUUCAUUAUUGGUUGUUUUUAUUGUGCUGAUUUCCGGUGAUCCGACCUCAGCUCCCUUCAUAUUGCCCUCUUUUUGAAAAUUUCAUGUGUGCACAGAGAGGCCAUCUUUUUCAGGACUGUGCAUUUUCAGGUUUGUAGUGAUUAAGAAGAUCGACCAGAGCGAGUUUUCAUAAUGACCUUCCAGUUGGCCCUGAAAUUCUAGCAGGUGACUGCUUCACUCCUGGACUGUGAUUUUCAGUGGGAGAUGGAAGUUUUUCAGAAAACUGAACUGUGGAAAAAUGAUCUUCCUUCAUCUUGAAGCUACUUUUAAAAAUCUGAGGGUCUGGACCAAAAGAAGAUCAGAUUUAGAAUCAAGAUGACAGAUAU
Molecule: RNA transcript, 1191 nt
Organism: Nannospalax galili (Upper Galilee mountains blind mole rat)
Lineage: Eukaryota; Metazoa; Chordata; Mammalia; Rodentia; Spalacidae
Gene name: small ubiquitin-related modifier 1 pseudogene
Exons: 1
Source: RefSeq, a predicted model, not a curated record